RNAcentral lists this ribosomal RNA (451 nucleotides) under uncultured bacterium. RNAcentral describes it as "bacterial SSU rRNA". It matches the Rfam family "Bacterial small subunit ribosomal RNA", at positions 29 to 524 of the family's 1533-position model. The record is from RNAcentral.
AACGAACGCUGGCGGCAGGCUUAACACAUGCAAGUCGAACGGGCGUAGCAAUACGUCAGUGGCGGACGGGUGAGUAACACGUGGGAAUGUGCCUUUCGGUUCGGAACAACUCGGGGAAACUCGUGCUAAUUCCGGAUACGCCCUUACGGGGAAAGAUUUAUCGCCGAAAGAUCAGCCCGCGUCCGAUUAGCUAGUUGGUGAGGUAAAGGCUCACCAAGGCACCGAUCGGUAGCUGGUUUGAGAGAACGACCAGCCACACUGGGACUGAGACACGGCCCAGACUCCUACGGGAGGCAGCAGUGGGGAAUCUUGGACAAUGGGCGCAAGCCUGAUCCAGCCAUGCCGCGUGAGUGAUGAAGGCCCUAGGGUUGUAAAGCUCUUUGUGCGGGAAGAUAAUGACGGUACCGCAAGAAUAAGCCCCGGCUAACUUCGUGCCAGCAGCCGCGGUAAC